AGUUUGAUCCUGGCUCAGAUUGAACGCUGGCGGCAUGCCUUACACAUGCAAGUCGAACGGUAACGGGCCUUCGGGUGCCGACGAGUGGCGAACGGGUGAGUAAUGUAUCGGAACGUACCUUUCAGUGGGGAUAACGUAGCGAAAGUUACGCUAAUACCGCAUAUUCUGUGAGCAGGAAAGCAGGGGAUCGCAAGACCUUGCGCUGAUUGAGCGGCCGAUAUCAGAUUAGCUAGUUGGUGAGGUAAAGGCUCACCAAGGCGACGAUCUGUAGCGGGUCUGAGAGGAUGAUCCGCCACACUGGAACUGAGACACGGUCCAGACUCCUACGGGAGGCAGCAGUGGGGAAUUUUGGACAAUGGGGCAACCCUGAUCCAGCCAUGCCGCGUGAGUGAAGAAGGCCUUCGGGUUGUAAAGCUCUUUCGGCCGGGAAGAAAUCGUAUGGGUUAAUACCCUGUGCGGAUGACGGUACCGGCAUAAGAAGCACCGGCUAACUACGUG
This 498-nucleotide ribosomal RNA is filed under the name uncultured bacterium. RNAcentral's name for it is "bacterial SSU rRNA". It matches the Rfam family "Bacterial small subunit ribosomal RNA", at positions 10 to 507 of the family's 1533-position model. The record is from RNAcentral.